Molecule: ribosomal RNA, 773 nt
Filed under: uncultured Neocallimastigales
Lineage: Eukaryota; Fungi; Neocallimastigomycota; Neocallimastigomycetes; Neocallimastigales
Description: partial large subunit ribosomal RNA
Rfam family: Eukaryotic large subunit ribosomal RNA
Source: RNAcentral
AUCUCUGUAGAGUCUGCAUAUCAAUAAGCGGAGGAAAAGAAACUAACUAGGAUUCCCUCAGUAACGGCGAGUGAAGCGGGAAGAGCUCAAAUUUGAAAUCUUCAAGGUUCUACCUUGACGAAUUGUAGUUUAAAGAAGUGUUUUCUGUUGGAGUUUUGGUAAAAGUUCUUUGGAAUAGGACAUCAUAGAGGGUGAGAAUCCCGUAUUUGACCAUUAUUUCCAGCUUUGUGAUACACUUUCAAAGAGUCGGAUUGUUUGGGAAUGCAGUCCAAAAUGGGUGGUAAAUUUCAUCUAAAGCUAAAUACUGGCGAGAGACCGAUAGCGAACAAGUACCGUGAGGGAAAGAUGAAAAGAACUUUGAAAAGAGAGUUAAACAGUACGUGAAAUUGUCAAAAGGGAAGCGUUUGACACCAGUGUUGUUUUUCUGAAAAUCAAUUAAAGAACUGUUUAUGCUAAGCUGUUUAGACUUUAUCAGCUAUCUGUUUAGUUUUGAGCUUUUCUUUAAUGCACUUUUCAGUUAACAAGUCAACAUCAAUUUCUUUUGCUGUAAAAAAGCUUGAGGAAGGUGGCUUGAGAUUCGUCAUAAGUGUUUAUAGCCUCUUGCCUAUGCAGUCGGAGAGAUUGAGGUCUGCAGCGUAGACCCUUCGGGGCUAAAUGCAUUUGUGCUAAGUUAUAGCAUUUUAUAGACAACUUGUUGACUAUGAUUUGUCUUGUAGCUUACUCGCUUAUGUUAUUUUACCUACGCUUAGGAUGUUGACGAUCAGCUGAGCGCG